This is a long non-coding RNA of Pipistrellus kuhlii (Kuhl's pipistrelle), 1314 nucleotides long. RefSeq lists it as uncharacterized. The transcript has 2 exons. NCBI's taxonomy places the organism in Eukaryota, Metazoa, Chordata, Mammalia, Chiroptera, Vespertilionidae. The record is from RefSeq and is a predicted model, not a curated record.
CUCUCAUUGAUGUUUCUAACUCUCCCUUUCCCUUCCUUUCUGUGAAAAAGAAAAUCAAUAAAAUAUAUAUAUUUUUAAAAUGCAGGGUGUGAGGAAGGCCACAGAUAAAACUAACAAAUUGGGUGAGGAAGAGGAAACCAAUGAUUAAUCAUUAAAAUGGAGAGUUAGGAGGAAAAUUAGUUAAAAGUCAAUAUUAGGGCAAGUUGGAAGGAGGAGGGAGAUGAUCAGUACUAAAUGCUACAGAGAAGUCAGAUGAAAGCAAUUGGUCAUCAGCAACUAAGUGAUCAUCAGGACCUCAAAGAAGAGUUUCAGUAAGGAAGAAGUAAAAUAGGUAGAAACAGAUGUAUAGACUAAAUUUUAAAAUCAUGGUGAUACACAUACACAUCUCAAGUGGGCACUCACUUGAGAGAGAUGAAAAGAGUUGUGACAAAGUGUGUGCUUGUGUAUGUAUAUGUUUUAAAGAUAGAGAUUUAAGUAAUUGUAGAUUCUGGAAGAAUUGCUGAUGGAAAGGGAGAGCUUAAAGAUACCAAGAUCUCUGAGGAAUUGAGAGCAGGUAAGAGGGAUCAGGAGCUUGAGAGACAGAUUUCAUCCUUCAAAACAGAAGGGAAAAAGAAAAGGAUGAGUGAGAGAAAGGUAGAAAACAUUCUGAGGUAGAAGAGAAACUGUCUGACUAUAGAUGUAGCCUCCAUUUUCUUAUUCAUUUAUUCAAUAUAUGAUUUGAUUAUGAACUGUGAACAAGUCAGACAAGGCACCUGUCCUCAUGGGAGGUAGUAAUUUUGAGAUCUUUAUUGCAGUCAGAUUAGGUUUUUUAUACUUCUCUGGGUUCUUUAUCUUAACCAUGGAACAAAGAAAAUAAUUGGGCUAUUUUCCAAGUUAUCCAAAAGUUGAUAUAGCUAAUACCAUUCUAGACGCAUAGGAGAGAGGUUAAUUCAUUAUAUACAUUGAUGUAGGGAUUGAGUUAGGAAUCCAGCUUUGUUUUAAAAUGGCUAGUCAGAUGUUUUUGCGCCAUAUAUUGAUUAAUCCAUUUUUCUCCAUUGAUUUUGAAAUGUCACCAUUUAUUAUAUGCCAACUAUCCAGUUCUGGAUUGUAUUUUGUUCAAUUGAUUUAUCUAUUCUAGUGUCAUACUACAUGGUCAAAAUUACUGUUUCUUUCUACGUUCAAAGGUUUUAGUAUUUUAAAGAGCCAGGAACCUGUCAUUUUCCAGAAUUUUUCUUAUCUAUUCUUAGGUAUGUAUUUAUUUAGAUAAAAUUUGGAAUGAUGACAUUAAGUCUGCCCACCAUCCUUAAUUCCUCUUCUCCUUACCUGCCCUGUGCA